RNAcentral lists this microRNA precursor (63 nucleotides) under Otolemur garnettii (small-eared galago). RNAcentral's name for it is "microRNA oga-mir-152 precursor". Its record names the gene oga-mir-152. It matches the Rfam family "mir-148/mir-152 microRNA precursor family", at positions 7 to 67 of the family's 74-position model. From Rfam's summary of the family: The hairpin precursors (represented here) are predicted based on base pairing and cross-species conservation -- their extents are not known. In this case the mature sequence is excised from the 3' arm of the hairpin. The record is from miRBase by way of RNAcentral. Lineage: Eukaryota; Metazoa; Chordata; Mammalia; Primates; Galagidae.
CCAGGUUCUGUGAUACACUCCGACUCGGGCUCUGGAGCAGUCAGUGCAUGACAGAACUUGGGC